CCUACGGGGAGCAGCAGUGAGGAAUAUUGGUCAAUGGGCGGGAGCCUGAACCAGCCAAGCCGCGUGAAGGAAGAAGGCGCCAGGCGUCGUAAACUUCUUUUGUCGGGGAACAAAGGGCGCCACGCGUGGCGUUGUGAGUGUACCCGAAGAAAAAGCAUCGGCUAACUCCGUGCCAGCAGCCGCGGUAAUACGGAGGAUGCGAGCGUUAUCCGGAUUUAUUGGGUUUAAAGGGUGCGCAGGCGGAAUGUCAAGUCAGCGGUAAAAUUUCGGGGCUCAACCCCGUCGUGCCGUUGAAACUGGCGUUCUUGAGUGAGCGAGAAGUAUGAGGAAUGCGGGGUGUAGCGGUGAAAUGCAUAGAUAUCACGCAGAACUCCGAUUGCGAAGGCAGCAUACCGGCGCUCAACUGACGCUCAUGCACGAAAGCGUGGGUAUCGAACAGGAUUAGAUACCCUGGUAGUC
This 459-nucleotide ribosomal RNA is filed under the name uncultured bacterium. Its description in RNAcentral is "partial 16S ribosomal RNA". It matches the Rfam family "Bacterial small subunit ribosomal RNA", at positions 338 to 795 of the family's 1533-position model. The record is from RNAcentral.